CAGCCGCCACGGGUAAUACGGAGGAUCCAAGCGUUAUCCGGAAUCAUUGGGUUUAAAGGGUCCGUAGGCGGUCUUGUAAGUCAGUGGUGAAAGCCCAUCGCUCAACGGUGGAACGGCCAUUGAUACUGCAGGACUUGAAUUAUUGGGAAGUAACUAGAAUAUGUAGUGUAGCGGUGAAAUGCUUAGAGAUUACAUGGAAUACCAAUUGCGAAGGCAGGUUACUACCAAUUGAUUGACGCUGAUGGACGAAAGCGUGGGUAGCGAACAGGAUUAGAUACCCGCGUAGUCCCUGUCUCUUAUA
This 301-nucleotide ribosomal RNA is filed under the name uncultured bacterium. RNAcentral describes it as "partial 16S ribosomal RNA". It matches the Rfam family "Bacterial small subunit ribosomal RNA", at positions 509 to 808 of the family's 1533-position model. The record is from RNAcentral.